This 330-nucleotide ribosomal RNA is filed under the name Triticum aestivum (bread wheat). RNAcentral describes it as "partial small subunit ribosomal RNA". The record is from RNAcentral. Lineage: Eukaryota; Viridiplantae; Streptophyta; Magnoliopsida; Poales; Poaceae.
AUGUUGCGAUAUGACCUUGAAGACCGGCUCUCAACCAUCUACACUGAUGAAGAGGCCUACUGGCGUUUGCGUGGUACCCAACGGUGGGUACUUCAGGGUGAUGCCAACACCGCCUAUUUCCAGGCGGUGGCGAACGGCCGCCGGCGCCGAAACUCCAUCCACUGCCUUUGGGAUGGAGAUUCGCCUCUCGUUCGCCCCUCGGCCAUCCGUGCCCAUGUAGAUGGCUUCUAUAAAGCCCUAUUUACCCCACCCCUUAGGGUGGGGCUAGUCUCGCUCCCGACAUUUGGUCGGGUGCUCAAUUGGUCUCUGAUGCGGCCAAUGCUGCUUUAG